CCUACGGGAGGCAGCAGUGGGGAAUUUUGGACAAUGGGCGCAAGCCUGAUCCAGCAAUGCCGCGUGAGUGAAGAAGGCCUUCGGGUUGUAAAGCUCUUUCAGUUGAGAAGAAAAGAUUGUGACUAAUAAUUGCAAUUCAUGACGGUAUCAACAGAAGAAGCACCGGCUAACUACGUGCCAGCAGCCGCGGUAAU
Molecule: ribosomal RNA, 194 nt
Filed under: uncultured bacterium
Lineage: Bacteria
Also listed under: 1 other name
Description: partial 16S ribosomal RNA
Rfam family: Bacterial small subunit ribosomal RNA
Source: RNAcentral